AAUAACGAAGUGACAAGCAAACAAUAUAUAUUCCUACUGAAUUUACUAGGCUACCUUCAAUGAGCAACUGAACACUACAAAACUGAUCUCAAAACAUAAAUUUUGUUAACACAGAUAUACUUAAUACAUUUUGAUAUGAAACAA
Molecule: long non-coding RNA, 144 nt
Organism: Pantherophis guttatus
Lineage: Eukaryota; Metazoa; Chordata; Lepidosauria; Squamata; Colubridae
Source: RefSeq, a predicted model, not a curated record